Molecule: transfer RNA, 73 nt
Filed under: Candidatus Woesearchaeota archaeon
Lineage: Archaea; Nanobdellati; Candidatus Woesearchaeota
Description: tRNA-Thr
Rfam family: tRNA
About the family: Transfer RNA (tRNA) molecules are approximately 80 nucleotides in length.
Source: RNAcentral
GCCUCGGUAGCUUAAUUGGUGGAGCAUCGCCUUGGUAAGGCGAAGGUUGCGGAUUCAAGUUCCGUCCGAGGCU